Molecule: long non-coding RNA, 545 nt
Organism: Platichthys flesus (European flounder)
Lineage: Eukaryota; Metazoa; Chordata; Actinopteri; Pleuronectiformes; Pleuronectidae
Exons: 3
Source: RefSeq, a predicted model, not a curated record
UGCAAGUGAACGCAUCAUGAGAAUCUCCUUCAGUGAAUACAAGCUGAGUGGUGGUGAAAGUUUACUCACAAAUGGAAUCAGUAGCACAGUUUGAUGUUCUGCUUGUUCAUCUGACGGACACGUUAACGGCGACUGCGCUCCCGCUUCUGUGCAUGUCCAGCAUGAGACACAACUUGAAUCCAACCAGACUGAGCACUGACUCCAGGGACAGACGAGCCUGAAGGACACAGCUGUGAUGACCAUGUUCUGUCUCUUAUGGCAAAGCAGAAAUAUUAAACACUGAGUUGACCAGCAUGAAGCUGCAGAUCUCCACCAUGUUGCUGCUGAGGACAUCAAGUGCUGCAGUUCUUCAUCUAUGAAGAGAAAAAAAGCACUGUUAAAGAAUGUUUUGAGUUGUGUAUGAAGCACAACAGAUUUCAGAUAGAACCGUUGUACUGUGGUCUUGGUUUGUAUCCUCAUGGUUAAAUGUACAUAUGACUCCCUCCCAAGCACAGUCAACAGCAAAUGGUUUCCUCCACGGGUCUUUAAUAAAGUCUUGUUCUUCA